RNAcentral lists this long non-coding RNA (228 nucleotides) under Gossypium barbadense (sea-island cotton). Its description in RNAcentral is "long non-coding RNA (GBAR_LNC000599)". Lineage: Eukaryota; Viridiplantae; Streptophyta; Magnoliopsida; Malvales; Malvaceae. The record is from RNAcentral.
GCAGACUUCACACGGCCAAGGUACACGCCCAUGUGGGUCGGCAGUGUCUCUCACACGGCUAAGACACACGCCCGUCUCUUAGCCCGUGUGUUUACUACUGAGCAUACUGGCUUGCAAAAUUUAGGUGGAGGGGACACACGGCUAUUCAAUACGUCCAUGGGGCAGACACACGAUCUAGACACAUGCCCGUGUGUCUACCCAUGUGGACCAUUUAAAGGCUAUUUUCCA